Molecule: ribosomal RNA, 839 nt
Filed under: uncultured bacterium
Lineage: Bacteria
Description: bacterial SSU rRNA
Rfam family: Bacterial small subunit ribosomal RNA
Source: RNAcentral
GAGUUUGAUCCUUUAUGAGGACGAACGCUGGCGGCGUGCCUAAUACAUGCACUUUGAACGCACUCUCGUUUAGAUUGAAGGAGCUUGCUCCUGAUUGAUAAACAUUUGAGUGAGUGGCGGACGGGUGAGUAACACGUGGGUAACCUGCCCUAAAGUGGGGGAUAACAUUUGGAAACAGAUGCUAAUACCGCAUAAAACCUAACACCGCAUGGUGUAGGGUUGAAAGAUGGUUUCGGCUAUCACUUUAGGAUGGACCCGCGGUGCAUUGGUUAGUUGGUGAGGUAAAGGCUCACCAAGACCGUGAUGCAUAGCCGACCUGAGAGGGUAAUCGGCCACACUGGGACUGAGACACGGCCCAGACUCCUACGGGAGGCAGCAGUAGGGAAUCUUCCACAAUGGACGAAAGUCUGAUGGAGCAACGCCGCGUGAGUGAAGAAGGUUUUCGGAUCGUAAAACUCUGUUGUUGGAGAAGAAUGUAUCUGAUAGUAACUGAUCAGGUAGUGACGGUAUCCAACCAGAAAGCCACGGCUAACUACGUGCCAGCAGCCGCGGUAAUACGUAGGUGGCAAGCGUUGUCCGGAUUUAUUGGGCGUAAAGCGAGCGCAGGCGGUUUCUUAAGUCUGAUGUGAAAGCCUUCGGCUCAACCGAAGAAGUGCAUCGGAAACUGGGAAACUUGAGUGCAGAAGAGGACAGUGGAACUCCAUGUGUAGCGGUGAAAUGCGUAGAUAUAUGGAAGAACACCAGUGGCGAAGGCGGCUGUCUGGUCUGUAACUGACGCUGAGGCUCGAAAGCAUGGGUAGCAAACAGAAGUAGAUACCCUGGUAGUCCAUGCCGUAAAC